Molecule: long non-coding RNA, 4124 nt
Filed under: Brassica napus (rape)
Lineage: Eukaryota; Viridiplantae; Streptophyta; Magnoliopsida; Brassicales; Brassicaceae
Description: long non-coding RNA (BNAP_LNC024506)
Source: RNAcentral
UCAACCUCUUUAACCUUGGCUUCUUGUUUCUCAUCUUUGUGGUGAGGAAUGUGGAUCCCUUUAGAUUCAAACGCUUCUUCUACAGCCUCAGUCACCAAGUCUUUGAUUCCAAAUCUUGAAGAGGUUCCAGAGUCUUUCUUUGACUUCUUCUUAUCCUUCUUAUCCUUUUUAUCCUUCUUAUCAUUUUUAUCUUUCUUAUCCUUCUUUGUGCUCUCUCCUAUCUGCUCCUUAGCUUCAUCAAUGAGCCCACCACUGUGACAAGAGUCUGAGAUGAUUGUAAUCUGUGCAUCUUUUGGCACCUUCUUCACAAGCUCCCUGAACUCAUCAUCUGAGAAUAGAAUCACCACAUAAGAAUAUGCAUAUGAAAAAGAGUGAAUCUGAAGCUAUAUAGCCUAUAUGCAAAAUAUCUUCUUGAGCUGAAAGAAAAAUUGAUGAGAAAUUGCAUUUGAUUUUUUUUUAUUACUUAGGAGAGUCUGAAUCUUUAAUUGGUAUAUUACUUAGGGCGAGAUUCAUACAUGUAAUUUUUUUUUUGUAUCUGACUUUAACCAAAUAAAAACAUCAAAACCAUGCUUCAGUUCAUCCAGAUCUCAACCUGAGAUUGAAUCUGAAACCCUAAGCAAUUUAUUCCUUUAAUCAUCUGCUGAUAAAUUCGAGAAUACUUUGAUCCCAAGAAAGAUAAUGUUCAUGAAGCAAACCAAGUGGUAAUAAAAGGUUCUAUUGACCAAGACAGAACAGAGUCAAAGUCAACUACAAUCUAGUUUUGUCACUUACCGGUAAUAAGAUUCAUAUCGCAAGGAACAAUACACUCAUUAUAACCAGUAUCAUCAUCUUCCCCUGUCUCAGCCGGCAACCUCGUCCCAUGUCCACUGUAAUGAACAACGAGAACAUCGCCAGAUCUAGCCGACUCAACUAGAUUCAACAACGCACGUCGGAUGUUCUUGCCUGUAGGUUUGGUGGAAGAGUUGUCGGUAUCGAUCAGCUCAGUGAUGUUUCUCUCGGAGAAACCGAACCGAUCGACUAGGCAUUUGUGCAUCCUCUUAACAUCGUUGACGCAUCGUUGACGCAGCCUCGUAGCUCCGCCUUGGUUCCAGGGUAGUUGAUUCCGAUCAAUACUGCUUUCUUCGCCAUCGAUGAUACCUCAAAAGGUUCGCUUCACAAAAUAAUUUUGUUUUUGAUUUUGAUCGUGAGCUGUUUUUCCUUUUUUAAAGAUGAUGAUCGUGAGCUGUUACAAUACAUCUCGUCGUUCUCCAUGGUUUUAUAGUAACGUUUAUUGCUUUUUCUUUGGUCAAGAUACUAAUGUUGAUUACUAUUAUAAAUUAAAGAAGCCUUUAAUUAAUAACGUUCCAUAAAAGAAUAAAGAUAACUUUUAUCAAAUUUUUAAUAUGAACUAUUGGGGAUGAUUGGAAAGAGCUUUAGCUUUAUAUUUUUGCUUUAGAAAUAAAUCUGUAGAUUUUUUUUGCUGUGGGUGUAGAUAAUUUUGAUGUCCAAUAUUAGCUGUAUGCUUAAAAAGAUUCAAAAACGUACAUAUAAAUAUUCUAAAGCAAAAAUUAAGUGCUCUAGAUUUUCCACGGCUAAAAAUAAAUAAAAAGGAAAGAAAAAUCUGUAACUUUAAAAAAAAUUUACAAAGCAUGAUUGGCAAAAUUUUGGACUGUAGAAAUAAUUUAGGUUGUAGAGAAAUCUUACAUCACUUCUAAAACACUUGCCAAUCAACCCCAUUAUUUAUUUAAUCACGAUUCCAUUCUGUAUAUACUCACUCUGUUUCUAAGAGAUAAAUGUUCUUACAAAAUAUUAUUUCAAAAAAUAUAUGUUUUAUUUUUACUAAAUAUAUUUUAUUAGUUAAUAAUGAUAAAUUACAAACUUCAAAAAAACACUUCUUGAAAUCUUGUUGGUGUAAAAUAAUUGGAAAUUGAUAAACAUAAAAUAAUAGAUUUAAUAACAAAAUUUAAUAUGUGUAAAAACAUAUAAACUUACAUCAUUUAGGAACACAUGGAGUAUUAUAUUACGUAAAUUAGCCUUAUAAUGUAAUUAAAUAUAUCAUAUUUGAGAUAUAAACUAUAUUCUAAUUAUUCAAAUAUAUCCAAAAUGCCACCAAUAUUAUUAUUGGUUUAACCGUUUAGAGAAGAAAAGUAAACGUCCAUGGCUUUGUUCUUUCUUCCAAAUAAAAAGCUUAAAACGUACAAACAUUGUAUAGAUUGUGAGGAAUGGUAUGGCAAGACUUUUACGCAUCUUAAUUGUGAGAAAUAAAUAAUUGGGAACUGGCUUGGCUUGUUGUUGUUGUGCACACCAUCUCUUGUAGGCACGAGCAAUUCCAUGUUAUAUCAUUGAUCAGUUAGCAUUAUCAACGUAUGUUUCAACACGUUACGGAUUUCCUUAUCAGCAAAUAAAUGGUUGAUUUCUUGUGACACAAGUCAGAUUUUAACCAAAAAAAACUCAGGAAAAAUAGGAUAACCCCAAAAUAAAUAACAGCUUAAAAGAUUGUAUGGUAAAUGUCAAUCUACAAAACAAAAGCUUAUACAUUAUUCAAAUUCACUUAAAAAAAAAAAAAGGAAAAAAGAAAUAAAGAUUGGCAAGACCGUCUUAGUUUUAUUUUUUAACACUAGAUAAUUAUGAUAUUACAACUAUGUGAAAUAUUACAGACGAUUCUACUGCCGACAAUUCUACCUGCCGUUCGAAGAUUCACGUCUGACUACAUCACUUGAGCCGUCCUAUGGGAUCUAUGCUUGACGGGUACUGCUUGCGCCAUGCUGCAGAUAUUUUGUAAGUCUUUUCUCCUUUAAUUCGUAUAAUUCCGCCUUAUCCGGGAAUUGAAACUCAGACCUCUUAGUGUAAUGAGCCCCUGGUGAAACCAAACCGUCUUAGUUAUUUUAUCAAUUCUUUGAUAAUUCUGAACUUUAUAGGCUUAAUAUUUUCUUAGUCUUAGUAUCAGGCUUGUAUAUCACAUGGUAAAUUGGCAAGAAGAUGUAAGAUUAUUAUCUAACAAGAAACUUCCUCUGCUUGGGUCUUAAACGUUUCCUUAGUGGACAAAUAUGAUAUAUGCAUGUCCAAAACAUACAAAGUUAAGAAGUUAAAAGAAUAUUUUUCUCAGCAAGCACAGUUCUCAGAAAUAAUAUUUGAGAAUUUAAAUAAAAAUAGGUAAAAAAUUUAAAAUAACCAAUGGACAAUGAACGCUUGACAUUCAAAUCAAAGUUACAAUAACAUAACAACAAAGAAAUCAGAUAACUUAUUCAACACGUAACUCCACAUACUUUGUUGAGUACCAACCCUUAACAAAUAAACGGAGCAUUCACAUACUCAUCGCUACAAUACAGCCCCGGUCGUUGAGCAUAGCCCUGUUUCUUAAGAAGCUUUCUUGCUUUCAUAACAAGUUCCUUGUAUGUAAUCUCACCUUUUGUCUCCCCAAGUAUGAUCUGCACAGCAUUACUAAAUGCUCCAUAAGCCAUCUCAGGUUUCCCCACAGGACUUGCAUCCGCGGAAGUUUGAUCAGUUUGACAACCACUUAUGAGAAUACCAUUAUCAGCAAGAGAACCAUUGCUUGCACCUGCAUAGACAUCUUGCUUUCUCUCCACAUCUGUCUUCAUCGCAGGCUUCGCAUACUCUUCAUCAUUGUUCAGCUUGUGUUCAAGAAACUCUUGAGCUAGUUUCCCAACCAUUCCCAAUAUCCCACCUUCACUUUUGCCUUCUUGUAGCUUCUUUAGAAGCACUUUCAUGAACUUCUUCACCUUUGGAGAAGCAUCUUCUCCAAACACAUUGAAAAGUGUUGGUCUGAUUUUGCCAACUUCGAUGUCAUUGUUACCGGUGUCAUGCUUGAGGAUAUCGAUUAGGGUUUGUAGAGGCAGAGAUUUGUUCACAACAUGGACUUUUUCAUCAUUGUCUAGUUCAACCUCUUUAACCUUGGCUUCUUGUUUCUCAUCUUUGUGGUGAGGAAUGUGGAUCCCUUUAGAUUCAAACGCUUCUUCUACAGCCUCAGUCACCAAGUCUUUGAUUCCAAAUCUUGAAGAGGUUCCAGAGUCUUUCUUUGACUUCUUCUUAUCCUUCUUAUCCUUUUUAUCCUUCUUAUCAUUUUUAUCUUUCUUAUCCUUCUUUGUGCUCUCUCCUAUCUGCUCCUUAGCUUCAUCAAUGAGCCC